Molecule: long non-coding RNA, 1571 nt
Organism: Myxocyprinus asiaticus (Chinese sucker)
Lineage: Eukaryota; Metazoa; Chordata; Actinopteri; Cypriniformes; Catostomidae
Exons: 3
Source: RefSeq, a predicted model, not a curated record
AUCAGAUUAAGUACAGUAAUCUGCUCCGUUGUCUCAAGAGUUUGUCGAUCAGUUUCAGCUAAACCGACCUAAGCAAUGGCGGAGCCAGAGGGGUACCACCCCAACAUAACUGGCAGUUGCUGAUGCUGAUUGACAUCUCAUGUAACCUCUUGUCAGAAGAAGAGUUUUUUUUUUUUUUGUUUUUUUUUUUUUCGGGUGUAAGAAUUAAGGGUGAUUGUAUGUUGAUUGGUGGAGCAAGGUAAAUCAGGAGAUUGCAUGUAGAGUGUCAAUGGUCCAUUUGGAUGAUAGGUGGCGGUAAUGCGCUUAUGUGUCUGCGAGCCGCCGUAAAACAAGAAGAAGAAGAAGAAGAGUUUUGUUUUUGUGACGUUCGCCGGCAGCGCGCGCAGUUUUCAAACGGAAGACGAGCCGAGGACGACAGAAUAUGGUUGCAAGAUACAGAAGAAUAAGAAAACGUCAUAUUUGAAAUAGAUGUAUCAGGGGAUGACACAGUGACCUCUGAUUCUAAGCAAGACAGUGAGCCAGAGCUGCCAGGAGAUGUCACUGAGCCCCUCCCAACUGCAACAAGCACCAGAUUUGCUGAUCCAAAAGGACCCAGUGACAUCUCUAGAUCCAGAGAAGAGGGUCCUGUACAGCCAUGUUUGAAAACAUUUCCCAGAACUCAGCAUGGUACUAGGAAAAGUGCUUUCAACAGCUCCUGGUGUAAGGACAGUUCAUGGCUUGAAUAAUCUGUAAAUCAAGAUUCAGUUUAUUGUUGCACAGUGGGCACUAUGCAUGAAGGGUGCAUUGCUUCAUGCAACUUGUAGACACAUAGUGACCCAAUUCUUUCCACUAUGUGAGUACUGUGUGUGUGUGUUAUUACUAUCAUUACCAGAAAAACAGCUUAUAAAUCGUACUAAAUCAUACAUACUACAUAUUUUUUUAGGUUUAGGUGAUGGAUAGGUUUAGGGGAUAGAAAAUACAGUUUGUACAGUAUAAAAAUCAUUAUGGAAAUUCCCCAUAAAACAUGGAAACCCAACAUUGUGUGUGUGUGUGUGUGUGUGUGUGGACCCCCAAAAGUAGCAGUGGCCACCCCAUGUAUAAAACUCUAGUUCCGCCACUGGACCUAAGUCCAACAAAAAAACUUAAAUAUCGUAAUGGAUAUCUAGUCUUGAUUAUGUAUAUGCUGCUGAAAGGAAACAGUAGGUUUUCAGAGUAUGAGAAGGUACUGUCUUCCCAACAAACUUUUCCCUAUCGUUAGAAUAUAGUUCCUGUUCCUGUAAUGCUUAUUUUUUUCUUUUUCAUUACCAAAUUUUUUUUUAAUAAACACGGCAGAGAGGUUGAUAUACAACAAUAACUGAGAAGUACAGCACUGUACAGCAUUUUAGAUACAUAUAGAAUUGUAUUAUUUAUUUAUUUAUUACAAAAAAUGUGAUUUGUAUGCAUUAUCGGGGGCGUAGAUUCCAGGGGGGAUGAGGGGUCAAGGCUCAUUCAGUGUUGAAUCACAGCAGGGUUGCAGAAAGGAUAAAUUAGUCUUCCAAAAUGUGUUGUGGUUGAUUUUAAGGAUUAUACAGUAUAAUAAUUACAAUGGAUAA